This is a non-coding RNA of Brachypodium distachyon (stiff brome), 146 nucleotides long. The record is from Rfam. NCBI's taxonomy places the organism in Eukaryota, Viridiplantae, Streptophyta, Magnoliopsida, Poales, Poaceae.
CUGCACGGGGCUAACACCGGGCUUGUCGGAUUGAAGCUCUGGAGAAGGAAGACCCAGUGCUUGUGCUAGAUUCACCACGCCAUUCAGUGUUGGAGAUCAUGACAAUUUUUGUGAUUGAGUGGUCUGUCAAAGUAAUGGGUACUCUC